Molecule: ribosomal RNA, 600 nt
Filed under: Triticum aestivum (bread wheat)
Lineage: Eukaryota; Viridiplantae; Streptophyta; Magnoliopsida; Poales; Poaceae
Description: partial small subunit ribosomal RNA
Source: RNAcentral
AUGAAACUGUCGUGGAGCAAGGACCUCGAGGUUGACGAGCAUGAGUUCGUCAUCCCGGAGGCCAGCCGUCGCUACCGCGUCACCGAGGUCUUCGUCGUCGACCCAAUGAGCGCUGGCGACGAGGACGUGACCGUCUCCAUCGAGGCCGGCGACCACGAGCUCGUGCUUGGGCCGAUGUCCGCGUAUAGUCCGGACGCCGACCUGCGCUCCGUACUGGCACUGGACGAGGCGUUUUGGCUGGACCGGUGCGACGACUCCGCCAAGAAAACGGUCGUUCGGUUUGAAGGCUACGUUCUCACGGAACCGGACGACGAGGAUCCGAUGCCGGCCGAGUCCAUUGACGAGCUUGUCCAGCUCCACGGCGAGACUUCGGAGUCCGAGGAUGACGACGGGUGCUUCGACGACGACAGCGAGCUCAAUGUGUCGCUCGACAUCCAUGGACAAGAUGCCAGGACGAGCAGCAGCCCACUGGUCCUGCCAGAGGUGGCGGCGAAGCGUGGCACCACCACUGGCCGUUCUCCCACAAACCAAGGAGUGGGCGUCGUUUCUCCGCCGGCUACGGAGAGGAGCUUUUCUCGGCGACCUUACUUCUAUCGUUGA